This 463-nucleotide ribosomal RNA is filed under the name uncultured bacterium. RNAcentral's name for it is "partial 16S ribosomal RNA". It matches the Rfam family "Bacterial small subunit ribosomal RNA", at positions 28 to 507 of the family's 1533-position model. The record is from RNAcentral.
GAUGAACGCUGACAGAAUGCUUAACACAUGCAAGUCUUUGGCGAAGCUGUGCUUGCACCGCCUGGCCAAGGCGGACGGGUGAGUAACGCGUAAGGAACUUGCCCUGCAGUCAGGGAUAACAGACGGAAACGACUGAUAAGACCUGGUAAAGUCAGGCGGACUCAUGUCCAGCCUGAUGAAAAGAGAUGCUGCAGGAGAGCCUUGCGUCCUAUUAGCUUGUUGGUGGGGUAACGGCCCACCAAGGCGAUGAUAGGUAGCCGGCCUGAGAGGGUGGACGGCCACAAGGGGACUGAGAUACGGCCCUUACUCCUACGGGAGGCAGCAGUGGGGAAUAUUGGACAAUGGGGGCAACCCUGAUCCAGCAAUUCUGUGUGCACGAUGAAGGUUUUCGGAUUGUAAAGUGCUUUCAGCAGGGAAGAAAAAAAUGACGGUACCUGCAGAAGAAGCGACGGCUAAAUACGUG